AGAGUUUGAUCAUGGCUCAGGACGAACGCUGGCGGCGUGCUUAACACAUGCAAGUCGAACGGAAAGGCCCUUCGGGGUACUCGAGUGGCGAACGGGUGAGUAACACGUGGGUGAUCUGCCCUGCACUUUGGGAUAAGCCUGGGAAACUGGGUCUAAUACCGAAUAUGACCAUGCACUUCCUGGUGUGUGGUGGAAAGCUUUUGCGGUGUGGGAUGGGCCCGCGGCCUAUCAGCUUGUCGGUGGGGUAAUGGCCUACCAAGGCGACGACGGGUAGCCGGCCUGAGAGGGUGACCGGCCACACUGGGACUGAGAUACGGCCCAGACUCCUACGGGAGGCAGCAGUGGGGAAUAUUGCACAAUGGGCGCAAGCCUGAUGCAGCGACGCCGCGUGAGGGAUGACGGCCUUCGGGUUGUAAACCUCUUUCAGCACAGACGAAGCGCGAGUGACGGUAUGUGCAGAAGAAGGACCGGCCAACUACGUGCCAGCAGCCGCGGUAAUACGUAGGGUCCGAGCGUUGUCCGGAAUUACUGGGCGUAAAGAGCUCGUAGGUGGUUUGUCGCGUUGUUCGUGAAAACUCACAGCUUAACUGUGGGCGUGCGGGCGAUACGGGCAGACUGGAGUACUGCAGGGGAGACUGGAAUUCCUGGUGUAGCGGUGGAAUGCGCAGAUAUCAGGAGGAACACCGGUGGCGAAGGCGGGUCUCUGGGCAGUAACUGACGCUGAGGAGCGAAAGCGUGGGGAGCGAACAGGAUUAGAUACCCCGGUAGUCC
RNAcentral lists this ribosomal RNA (771 nucleotides) under uncultured bacterium. Its description in RNAcentral is "bacterial SSU rRNA". It matches the Rfam family "Bacterial small subunit ribosomal RNA", at positions 8 to 796 of the family's 1533-position model. The record is from RNAcentral.